GUAGGUGGCAAGCGUUGUCCGGAAUUAUUGGGCGUAAAGCGCGCGCAGGCGGUUCUUUAAGUCUGAUGUGAAAGCCCACGGCUCAACCGUGGAGGGUCAUUGGAAACUGGAGAACUUGAGUACAGAAGAGGAAAGCGGAACUCCACGUGUAGCGGUGAAAUGCGUAGAGAUGUGGAGGAACACCAGUGGCGAAGGCGGCUUUCUGGUCUGUAACUGACGCUGAGGCGCGAAAGCGUGGGGAGCAAACAGGAUUAGAUACCCUGGUAGUCCACGCCGUAAACGAUGAGUGCUAAGUGUUAGGGGGUCUCCGCCCCUUAGUGCUGCAGCUAACGCAUUAAGCACUCCGCCUGGGAGUACGGCCGCAAGGCUG
Molecule: ribosomal RNA, 370 nt
Filed under: uncultured organism
Description: partial 16S ribosomal RNA
Rfam family: Bacterial small subunit ribosomal RNA
Source: RNAcentral